ACGAUGGAGAGUUUGAUCCUGGCUCAGGAUUAACGCUGGCGGCGUGCCUAAUACAUGCAAGUCGAACGGGAUAUACCUUCGGGUAUAUUUAGUGGCGAACGGGUGAGUAAUACGUAGGUAACCCACCUAUAAGACGAGGAUAGCCAUUGGAAACGAUGGAUAAUACUGGAUAGGAUAUAUAGAAGCAUUUGUAUAUAUUUAAAGGAGAGAACCGCUUAUAGAGGGGCCUGCGGCGCAUUAGCUAGUUGGUAGAGGUAAGGGCCUACCAAGGCGAUGAUGCGUAGCCGGACUGAGAGGUUGAACGGCCACAAUGGGACUGAGAACGGCCCAUACUCCUACGGGAGGCAGCAGUAGGGAAUUUUCGGCAAUGGGGGGAACCCUGACCGAGCAACGCCGCGUGAACGAAGAAGUUAUUCGUAAUGUAAAGUUCUUUUAUCAGGGAAGAAAAGAAGAGUAUUGACGGUACCUGAUGAAUAAGCUCCGGCUAACUACGUGCCAGCAGCCGCGGUAAUACGUAGGGAGCGAGCGUUAUCCGGAAUUAUUGGGCGUAAAGGGUGCGUAGAUGGUUUAUUAAGUUUCUUGUAAAAAUGCUAGGCUCAACCUAGUAGGGCAAGAGAUACUGGUAGACUAGAGUAUGACAGAGGCAAGUGGAACUACAUGUGUAGCGGUAAAAUGCGUAAAUAUAUGUAAGAACACCGGUGGCGAAGGCGGCUUGCUGGGUCGAUACUGACAUUGAGGCACGAAAGCGUGGGGAGCAAACAGGAUUAGAUACCCUGGUAGUCCACGCCCUAAACGAUGAGUACUAAGUGUUGGUGAAAAUCAGUGCUGAAGUUAACGCAUUAAGUACUCCGCCUGAGUAGUACGUACGCAAGUAUGAAACUUAAAGGAAUUGACGGGAGCCCGCACAAGCGGUGGAGCAUGUUGUUUAAUUCGACGAUACGCGAAGAACCUUACCAGGUCUUGACAUACCCUGCGAAGCUAUGGAGACAUAGUGGAGGAUAGCAGGGAUACAGGUGGUGCAUGGUUGUCGUCAGCUCGUGUCGUGAGAUGUUGGGUUAAGUCCCGCAACGAGCGCAACCCUUAUAUCUAGUUACCAGCAGUAAGAUGGGGACUCUAGAUAGACUGCCAUUGAUAAAAUGGAGGAAGGUGGGGAUGACGUCAAAUCAUCAUGCCCUAUAUGACCUGGGCUACAAACGUGCUACAAUGGCUGAAACAAAGAGAAGCGAGAGGGUGACCUGGAGCAAAACUCAAAAAAGCAGUCUCAGUUCGGAUUGAAGUCUGCAACUCGACUUCAUGAAGAUGGAAUCGCUAGUAAUCGCGAAUCAGAAUGUCGCGGUGAAUACGUUCUCGGGCUUUGUACACACCGCCCGUCAAACCAUGAGAGUUUGUAAUACCCGAAGCCGGUGGCCUAACGCAAGAGGGAGCCGUCUAAGGUAGGACAGAUGAUUGGGGUUAAGUCGUAACAAGGUAUCCCUACGAGAACGUGGGGAUGGAUCACCUCCUUU
This 1505-nucleotide ribosomal RNA is filed under the name Anaeroplasmataceae bacterium. Its description in RNAcentral is "bacterial SSU rRNA". It matches the Rfam family "Bacterial small subunit ribosomal RNA". The record is from RNAcentral. Lineage: Bacteria; Bacillati; Mycoplasmatota; Mollicutes; Anaeroplasmatales; Anaeroplasmataceae.